RNAcentral lists this long non-coding RNA (588 nucleotides) under Rattus norvegicus (Norway rat). RNAcentral's name for it is "long non-coding RNA NONRATT015116". Lineage: Eukaryota; Metazoa; Chordata; Mammalia; Rodentia; Muridae. The record is from RNAcentral.
GUUUACCAGGCUAUGACCACCAUUAAAAAGGGUACUUCUCCCAACAUAUGGCUGGCCUCUUUGAAAGAUCAAGAGUUCGCCCUAGAUCAUUUUUGUCACAGUCAUGUGGAGUCAUUGUAUCCAGGGACUGGCAACUUUCCUCGAACUCGGACCAACCUAAGACACGGGGCCCGGUGGCCAUAGAGUAACUCUAUGACGGGUAAGGCCGAGUUUGGAUGAGAACCACCUAAGACAGGAGCAAUGACAAGAUUGACGUGACACCCAGAUCUAGACCAGUCAUUUUAUUAAACAAAAAAGGGGGAGAUGUAGAGAGCUGCGUGGCAAAACAAAGAUGGUGCCGACAUCCAGCCUUGUCUGGAUAUAAACGACUUACUGCGCAUGUGCAGGCUUGUCCCCUUGCUAGGGCUCCCUCUAGUGGUGAACAGCGGUACUGCACAUGUGCGGUUUAUGCACCAGGUGUCAGUUGACCGUUGAUAUGCUAAUGAGGUGAUUCAUUCUCCGCCAAUCCCUGGAGGACAAGUAGUGGGGUGAUCCAAGCCCCACCAAUCCCUGAGAGAUAAUUAGCAUACUGUUGUCUAUAUAAACCGA